This 685-nucleotide ribosomal RNA is filed under the name uncultured bacterium. RNAcentral describes it as "bacterial SSU rRNA". It matches the Rfam family "Bacterial small subunit ribosomal RNA", at positions 8 to 688 of the family's 1533-position model. The record is from RNAcentral.
AGAGUUUGAUCCUGGCUCAGAUUGAACGCUGGCGGCAUGCUUUACACAUGCAAGUCGAACGGCAGCACGGGGGCAACCCUGGUGGCGAGUGGCGAACGGGUGAGUAACACAUCGGAACAUAUCCUUGAGUGGGGGAUAACGCAGCGAAAGUUGUGCUAAUACCGCAUAAGCUCUGAGGAGGAAAGCAGGGGACCGCAAGGCCUUGCGCUGGAGGGAUGGCCGAUGUCCGAUUAGCUAGUUGGUGGGGUAAAGGCUUACCAAGGCGACGAUCGGUAGCUGGUCUGAGAGGAUGAUCAGCCACACUGGGACUGAGACACGGCCCAGACUCCUACGGGAGGCAGCAGUGGGGAAUUUUGGACAAUGGGGGCAACCCUGAUCCAGCCAUGCCGCGUGAGUGAAGAAGGCCUUCGGGUUGUAAAGCUCUUUCGUGGGGGAAGAAAGGACUUGAGUGAAUAGCUUGAGUUGAUGACGGUACCCCAAGAAGAAGCACCGGCUAACUACGUGCCAGCAGCCGCGGUAAUACGUAGGGUGCGAGCGUUAAUCGGAAUUACUGGGCGUAAAGCGUGCGCAGGUGGUUUGUUAAGUCAGAUGUGAAAGCCCUGGGCUUAACCUAGGAAUUGCGUUUGAAACUGGCGAGCUAGAGUCUGUCAGAGGGGGGUAGAAUUCCAUGUGUAGCAGUGAAAUG